Molecule: ribosomal RNA, 548 nt
Filed under: uncultured Glomeromycotina
Lineage: Eukaryota; Fungi; Glomeromycota
Description: SSU rRNA
Rfam family: Eukaryotic small subunit ribosomal RNA
Source: RNAcentral
UUGGAGGGCAAGUCUGGUGCCAGCAGCCGCGGUAAUUCCAGCUCCAAUAGCGUAUAUUAAAGUUGCUGCAGUUAAAAAGCUCGUAGUUGAAUUUCGGGACCAUCAUGUCGGUCGUGCCUCGGUACGUACUGGUAUUGUUGGUUUCUCCCUUCUGACGAACCACGAUGUCAUUUAUUUGGUGUUGUGGGGAAUCAGGACUGUUACUUUGAAAAAAUUAGAGUGUUUAAAGCAGGCUCACGCUUGAAUACAUUAGCAUGGAAUAAUGAAAUAGGACGUUUGAUUCUAUUUUGUUGGUUUCUAGGAUUGACGUAAUGAUUAAUAGGGAUAGUUGGGGGCAUUAGUAUUCAAUUGUCAGAGGUGAAAUUCUUGGAUUUAUUGAAGACUAACUACUGCGAAAGCAUUUGCCAAGGAUGUUUUCAUUAAUCAAGAACGAAAGUUAGGGGAUCGAAGACGAUCAGAUACCGUCGUAGUCUUAACCAUAAACUAUGCCGACUAGGGAUCGGAUGAUGUUAAUUUUUUAAUGACUCAUUCGGCGCCUUACGGGAAAC